AGACCCGAAACCCGGUGAUCUAGCCAUGGGCAGGUUGAAGGUUGGGUAACACUAACUGGAGGACCGAACCGACUAAUGUUGAAAAAUUAGCGGAUGACCUGUGGCUGGGGGUGAAAGGCCAAUCAAACCGGGAGAUAGCUGGUUCUCCCCGAAAGCUAUUUAGGUAGCGCCUCGUGAAUUCAUCUCCGGGGGUAGAGCACUGUUUCGGCUAGGGGGCCAUCCCGGCUUACCAACCCGAUGCAAACUGCGAAUACCGGAGAAUGUUAUCACGGGAGACACACGGCGGGUGCUAACGUCCGUCGUGAAGAGGGAAACAACCCAGACCGCCAGCUAAGGUCCCAAAGUCAUGGUUAAGUGGGAAACGAUGUGGGAAGGCCCAGACAGCCAGGAUGUUGGCUUAGAAGCAGCCAUCAUUUAAAGAAAGCGUAAUAGCUCACUGGUCGAGUCGGCCUGCGCGGAAGAUGUAACGGGGCUAAACCAUGCACCGAAGCUGCGGCAGCGACGCUUAUGCGUUGUUGGGUAGGGGAGCGUUCUGUAAGCCUGUGAAGGUGGCCUGUGAGGGUUGCUGGAGGUAUCAGAAGUGCGAAUGCUGACAUAAGUAACGAUAAAGCGGGUGAAAAGCCCG
RNAcentral lists this ribosomal RNA (625 nucleotides) under Salmonella enterica. RNAcentral's name for it is "partial 23S ribosomal RNA". It matches the Rfam family "Bacterial large subunit ribosomal RNA", at positions 711 to 1332 of the family's 2925-position model. The record is from RNAcentral. RNAcentral also lists the same sequence under 2 other names. Lineage: Bacteria; Pseudomonadati; Pseudomonadota; Gammaproteobacteria; Enterobacterales; Enterobacteriaceae.